RNAcentral lists this transfer RNA (74 nucleotides) under Bacteroidales bacterium. Its description in RNAcentral is "tRNA-Gln". It matches the Rfam family "tRNA". From Rfam's summary of the family: Transfer RNA (tRNA) molecules are approximately 80 nucleotides in length. Lineage: Bacteria; Pseudomonadati; Bacteroidota; Bacteroidia; Bacteroidales. The record is from RNAcentral.
UGAGAUAUGGUGUAAUGGUAGCACAAGAGAUUCUGGCUCUCUUGGUCCGGGUUCGAAUCCUGGUAUCUCAACCA